GAUAAGUGCUAGCCGGACUCGCCUAAAUAGCGAGUUCCUUCAGACUUGCUUUUUCGUGUCAAUUUUCUACAUAAAUCCACUUUGACCACUUGAUCUUCCAUUUUCUUUUCGUUUCGUUUCUUCCUUCCAGGCUUCCACGCACACUCUCUCUCUCUCUCUCAACCUUUCCACCCUUCACUUCGUUUUUUCCGUACAUUUACUACAUGCUCAAAUCCAAAUCUAUCAGGACAAAGCUCCUUAUCCUCUUUUUUUAUCUUCAAUCUCUCCCAAUCCAUCUAUAACCCAUUUUCCCAAUCCAUCUAUUUAACAAGUCGACACCUGAUGCGCUGAAGAAUCUCAAUCUCUCUCCCAGAAGUUAAAGAAUCGCAUGACUAGAUGAACAACAACCGACUCGGUUCGUCCGUGUUCCGUGUCGCCGUGUCGGAAUGUCAGACACUUCGGGUGUCCGACACUCCGGGGUUUCAGGAUGUCCAGACACUUCGGGGUGUCCGACGCUCCAACACUCGGGGGUUUCGGAGUGUCCGUGCUCCAUGUCGCCGUGUCUCUAUAAUUGCUUAAAUUUCACUCGAUGUGUGUCUGCAGGUUGGCCUCCCUUCCAUGGAUGUAUCUGCAUAAUCUCCUUUAGCGUCUUAUUAUCAGAUGGAGUUGCUUGAAGGGCAUUUAGAUAUGAUCGUCUCAUCGUGAAGCUGAAACAGGUACAUGUUAAAAUCAAUCGGGCCAAUCUUAUUAUAUAACAUGCAGUGUUAAAACAAUGACACAUUGUCACUUACAACCAUCCAUCUAAGUCAUUUUAGUCAUAAUAGCAACCCCACUUUCAUUGAAGCAUGAUCGAUCUCGUACAAUUUAUGGGACAAGGUUUGGUGGGAGGUUUGGUGGGACAAGGGUUGUUGUUGUAUCAAAUUGUGUAAAAUUAAACUCGUAAAUAUUUUACGUGGAUAGUUUUAAUUAUGUAUAUACAUUUAAGUAUUUGAUACUUGAUAGUACGAGAUGUAUCUAAUAGCAUGUACUAAUACCCUUAUAACACAAUCUUCAAACA
Molecule: non-coding RNA, 1036 nt
Organism: Malus domestica (apple)
Lineage: Eukaryota; Viridiplantae; Streptophyta; Magnoliopsida; Rosales; Rosaceae
Source: RefSeq, a predicted model, not a curated record